RNAcentral lists this transfer RNA (82 nucleotides) under Myxococcales bacterium LLY-WYZ-16_1. Its description in RNAcentral is "tRNA-Leu". It matches the Rfam family "tRNA". Rfam says of the family: Transfer RNA (tRNA) molecules are approximately 80 nucleotides in length. The record is from RNAcentral. Lineage: Bacteria; Pseudomonadati; Myxococcota; Myxococcia; Myxococcales.
GCGGCGGUGGUGGAAUUGGUAGACACACCAUCUUGAGGGGGUGGCGCCGCAAGGCAUGGGAGUUCGAGUCUCCCCCGCCGCA